RNAcentral lists this ribosomal RNA (508 nucleotides) under uncultured bacterium. RNAcentral describes it as "partial 16S ribosomal RNA". It matches the Rfam family "Bacterial small subunit ribosomal RNA", at positions 30 to 523 of the family's 1533-position model. The record is from RNAcentral.
AUUGAACGCUGGCGGCAUGCCUAACACAUGCAAGUCGAACGGCAGCACGACCUAGCUUGCUAGGUUGGUGGCGAGUGGCGCACGGGUGAGUAAUGCGUAGGGAUAUACCUUAAAGUGAGGGACAACCUGGGGAAACUCAGGCUAAUACCGCAUGAGCUCUAAGGAGGAAAGAUGGGGACCUUUCGGGGCCUGGCGCUUUAAGAUGAGCUUACGUCCGAUUAGUGAGUUGGUGGGGGAAAGGCUUACCAAGACGAUGAUCGGUAGCUGGUCUGAGAGAAUGAUCAGCCACACUGGGACUGAGACACGGCCCAGACUCCUACGGGAGGCAGCAGUGGGGAAUAUUGGACAAUGGGGGAAACCCUGAUCCAGCGAUGCCGCGUGUGUGAAGAAGGCCUGCGGGUUGUAAAGCACUUUCGGUUGGGAGGAGGACUUAUAGGUUAAGAGCUAAUGAGUUGGACGUUACCCACAUAAGAAGCACCGGCUAACUCCGUGCCAGCAGCCGCGGUAA